ACCCAAUAGAUACCCGGGUAGUCCACGCCCUAAACGAUGUAUGCUUGGUGUUGGCUCGUAUGAGUCAGUGCCGUAGGUAAACCUGAUAAGCAUACCACCUGGGGAGUACGCUCGCAAGGGUGAAACUCAAAGGAAUUGACGGGGGCCCGCACAAGCGGUGGAGCAUGUGGUUUAAUUCGAGGCUACGCGAAGAACCUUACCUGGGCUUGAACUGCCGGUAGUAGGACCCUGAAAGGGGAACGACCCGCAAGGGAGCCGGCGGAGGUGCUGCAUGGCUGUCGUCAGCUCGUGCCGUGAGGUGUUGGGUUAAGUCCCGCAACGAGCGCAACUCCUACCCUUAGUUGCCAUCAGGUUAUGCUGGGCACUCUAAGGGGACUGCCUACGCAAGUAGUGAGGAAGGUGGGGAUGAUGUCAAGUCAUCAUGGUCCUUACGUCCAGGGCUACACACGUGCUACAAUGAACGGUACAAUGGGCAAAACCGCAAGGUGGAGGCAAUCCCAAAAAACCGUUCUCAGUACGGAUUGGAGUCUGCAACUCGACUCC
Molecule: ribosomal RNA, 543 nt
Filed under: uncultured bacterium
Lineage: Bacteria
Description: bacterial SSU rRNA
Rfam family: Bacterial small subunit ribosomal RNA
Source: RNAcentral